AUGAACGCUGGCGGCGUGCCUAAUACAUGCAAGUCGAGCGAACGGACGAGAAGCUUGCUUCUCUGAUGUUAGCGGCGGACGGGUGAGUAACACGUGGAUAACCUACCUAUAAGACUGGGAUAACUUCGGGAAACCGUAGCUAAUACCGGAUAAUAUUUUGAACCGCAUGGUUCAAAAGUGAAAGACGGUCUUGCUGUCACUUAUAGAUGGAUCCGCGCUGCAUUAGCUAGUUGGUAAGGUAACGGCUUACCAAGGCAACGAUGCAUAGCCGACCUGAGAGGGUGAUCGGCCACACUGGAACUGAGACACGGUCCAGACUCCUACGGGAGGCAGCAGUAGGGAAUCUUCCGCAAUGGGCGAAAGCCCGACGGAGCAACGCCGCGUGAGUGAUGAAGGUCUUCGGAUCGUAAAACUCUGUUAUUAGGGAAGAACAUAUGUGUAAGUAACUGUGCACAUCUUGACGGUACCUAAUCAGAAAGCCACGGCUAACUACGUG
Molecule: ribosomal RNA, 496 nt
Filed under: uncultured bacterium
Lineage: Bacteria
Description: partial 16S ribosomal RNA
Rfam family: Bacterial small subunit ribosomal RNA
Source: RNAcentral